Molecule: transfer RNA, 76 nt
Rfam family: tRNA
About the family: Transfer RNA (tRNA) molecules are approximately 80 nucleotides in length. Their secondary structure includes four short double-helical elements and three loops (D, anti-codon, and T loops).
GGGGCCAUAGUCUAGUCAGGCAGGAUGGCUGGCUCCAGACCAGCAGACGGGAGUUCGAAUCUCUCUGGCCCCACCA